Molecule: ribosomal RNA, 253 nt
Filed under: uncultured bacterium
Lineage: Bacteria
Description: partial 16S ribosomal RNA
Rfam family: Bacterial small subunit ribosomal RNA
Source: RNAcentral
UGCGGAGGAUGCAAGCGUUAUCCGGAAUUAUUGGGCGUAAAGCGUCCGCAGGUGGCUAAUCAAGUCUGCGGUCAAAGACCGGGGCUUAACCCUGGAAAGGCGGUGGAAACUGAAUUGCUAGAGUGUCGUAGGGGUAGAGGGAAUUCCCGGUGUAGCGGUGAAAUGCGUAGAGCUCGGGAAGAACAUCGGUGGCGAAAGCGCUCUACUGGACGACAACUGACACUCAGGGACGAAAGCUAGGGGAGCGAAUGGG